RNAcentral lists this ribosomal RNA (460 nucleotides) under uncultured bacterium. RNAcentral describes it as "partial 16S ribosomal RNA". It matches the Rfam family "Bacterial small subunit ribosomal RNA", at positions 338 to 795 of the family's 1533-position model. The record is from RNAcentral.
CCUACGGGUAGCAGCAGUGAGGAAUAUUGGUCAAUGGACGAGAGUCUGAACCAGCCAAGUAGCGUGAAGGAUGAAUGCCCUAUGGGUUGUAAACUUCUUUUAUAUGGGAAUAAAACGUUCCACGUGUGGGAUUUUGUAUGUACCAUAUGAAUAAGGAUCGGCUAACUCCGUGCCAGCAGCCGCGGUAAUACGGAGGAUCCGAGCGUUAUCCGGAUUUAUUGGGUUUAAAGGGAGCGUAGGUGGAUUGUUAAGUCAGUUGUGAAAGUUUGCGGCUCAACCGUAAAAUUGCAGUUGAAACUGGCAGUCUUGAGUACAGUAGAGGUGGGCGGAAUUCGUGGUGUAGCGGUGAAAUGCUUAGAUAUCACGAAGAACUCCGAUUGCGAAGGCAGUUCACUGGACUGCAACUGACACUGAGGCUCGAAAGUGUGGGUAUCAAACAGGAUUAGAUACCCCUGUAGUC